Molecule: ribosomal RNA, 494 nt
Filed under: uncultured Sphingobacteriales bacterium
Lineage: Bacteria; Pseudomonadati; Bacteroidota; Sphingobacteriia; Sphingobacteriales
Description: bacterial SSU rRNA
Rfam family: Bacterial small subunit ribosomal RNA
Source: RNAcentral
CGCCCGCUCAGAAACUUAAAGGAAUUGACGGGGCCCGCACAAGCGGUGGAGCAUGUGGUUUAAUUCGAUGAUACGCGAGGAACCUUACCUGGGCUCAAAUGUAUGUUGACGUAUUCUGAAAGGGAUACUUCUUCGGACAAUAUACAAGGUGCUGCAUGGUUGUCGUCAGCUCGUGCCGUGAGGUGUCGGGUUAAGUCCCAUAACGAGCGCAACCCCUAUCAUUAGUUGCCAUCAGGUCAAGCUGGGGACUCUAAUGAAACUGCCUACGCAAGUAGUGAGGAAGGUGGGGAUGACGUCAAAUCAGCACGGCCCUUACGUCCAGGGCUACACACGUGCUACAAUGGCCGGCACAGCGGGAAGCGAGGCAGUGAUGCCAAGCGGAUCCCUUAAAGCCGGUCUCAGUUCGGAUUGAAGUCUGCAACUCGACUUCAUGAAGCUGGAAUCGCUAGUAAUCGCAGAUCAGCCAAGCUGCGGUGAAUACGUUCCCGGGCCUU